Molecule: non-coding RNA, 86 nt
Filed under: Tepidibacter formicigenes DSM 15518
Lineage: Bacteria; Bacillati; Bacillota; Clostridia; Peptostreptococcales; Peptostreptococcaceae
Description: GEMM cis-regulatory element
Rfam family: c-di-GMP-I riboswitch aptamer
About the family: GEMM was predicted in a large-scale screen for bacterial structured RNA regulatory elements. Genes associated with GEMM are involved in a diverse array of functions, including chemotaxis regulation, signal transduction, secretion and chitin.
Source: RNAcentral
AUUCGAUAAUAGCAAACUUAUCGAAAGGUAAGGAGAUAAAGACAUGGGUCUAAAGGGAGUUACCUUAUGACUGCCAGUUUAGCGAA